GUGCUCGCUUUGGCAGUGCAUAUACCUGCAUUGGAACAAUACAGAGAAGAUCAGCAUAGCCCCUGUGCAAGUAUGAUAUGCAAGUUCACGAAGCAUUCCAUGAAAAA
Molecule: small nuclear RNA, 107 nt
Organism: Tupaia belangeri (northern tree shrew)
Lineage: Eukaryota; Metazoa; Chordata; Mammalia; Scandentia; Tupaiidae
Source: Ensembl